Molecule: ribosomal RNA, 491 nt
Filed under: uncultured bacterium
Lineage: Bacteria
Description: partial 16S ribosomal RNA
Rfam family: Bacterial small subunit ribosomal RNA
Source: RNAcentral
GUGCACGCUGGCGGUAGGCCUAACACAUGCCAGUCGAACGGCAGCACAGUAAGAGCUUGCUCUUACGGGUGGCGAGUGGCGGACGGGCGAGGAAUACAUCGGAAUCUACUUUUUCGUGGGGGAUAACGUAGGGAAACUUACGCUAAUACCGCAUACGACCUACGGGUGAAAGCAGGGGAUCUUCGGACCUUGCGCGAUUGAAUGAGCCGAUGUCGGAUUAGCUAGUUGGCGGGGUAAAGGCCCACCAAGGCGACGAUCCGUAGCUGGUCUGAGAGGAUGAUCAGCCACACUGGAACUGAGACACGGUCCAGACUCCUACGGGAGGCAGCAGUGGGGAAUAUUGGACAAUGGGCGCAAGCCUGAUCCAGCCAUACCGCGUGGGUGAAGAAGGCCUUCGGGUUGUAAAGCCCUUUUGUUGGGAAAGAAAAGCAGCAGGUUAAUACCCCGCUGUUCUGACGGUACCCAAAGAAUAAGCACCGGCUAACUUCGUG